GGGGGGUCUCUGCCUUGGUGCAAGGAGGGUCACCAUGGCCGCGCGGUGAGGUACUCCCCGAGGCAGCCGCAAUUCCUCGCGGGAUCCAGAACCAGCCGGGACCACGCCGCUCGGGAGCAACACGUUUUCCCAUCGCCAUUCGUUGGUAUGGUGCUUACUAUCCAGUUUUUCAUAGUCUUCUCUCUCUAUUUCGCGGGACCAUGCACGAUUUAGAUCACUACGGCGGUGUUUGGGGAUGAACCGCGGCGAGCUUGUCGCCGUGUGGUGUGCAGCGCCACCGCGAUGCUGUGCCAGGGAAGAAGAAGAUGGCGCAUUCGUUGAUCUUCGCGCGAACGGGCGAGAUUAGAAGUAGGGUAGCGAUUCACCGAGUUAAAUCCUAGCCGUUCGACUGUGGAUGGACGUAUGUGAUGGGAUCGCGUAGUAUUGAACUCGUGGCCGUUAGAUCUGGAUCCUAAGGUUUAGAUCGUGUACCGGUUCACUUAAAUGGGCGCUAUAAUCUGGGGCGUUCGCUCGUGAUCCAACAGCUGAUGCGUAUCCGUACCCCUUCGACCACUCUAGUUUGCUAAAGAGCCCCCGCAGUUUAUACAAAAUAACCCGCCGUCCUGUAGAAUAGUUCUGUGUCUUGGGAAAACUUGCACCGAGGCCCCCAAGUUUCUUUGUUUUCAUGCGCCCAGUUCAGAUACCUUAGGAUAUUCAUGAUUAAAUUAGAAAAUGAUUUUUUGGUAUAAAAGUAAUGCUAGAAACUUGUAUAAUUCAAAUUUAAUUCAUAUGAAGUCCAAAUUAGUCCAUUCUAGUUCCUAUAAUUUUGUAUUAAUAUUGUGUAAAACUUAGUGUCUCUGUUUUGCCAUGAAAAUAGUAAUAAAAUUGAUUUCUUAAUUAAUCUUAUGCGAGGCACAUAAAACCUUCGGAAAGUCAUAACUCACAAUCCGUAACUCUAAUUUGAUCCGUUCAAGUUGUGUUAGUCCCGUACAAAUAUUUACUAUGCAAUAACAACAUUUAUUAUACCAUGUCUCAUUCUUUUCUAAUUAUAUCUUUAUUUAACUUAUGUUGGUUAGUCUUGUUAAUGUGCUCAUCAUUAUUGACCAAAAUAUAAUUUAUGGUAAUUUAUAACUUGGAUUAAAGUUGAGAUAACUAUUUAUAGAAUAAUUUCUCAUAUGAUCUAUACUAACUAAUUUAUAAUAUAGCUUAAUAUUUUAAUCACACGGAUCUUCUAUAAAACCAUAACUCCUUAAUCAUUACUCUGAUCUUAGUAGUUCUCGAUCCCACGAUCUCGUAGCAACGCGUAGAUCAUUAUUAUGCAGUAUGUUCUUAUGUUUGGUGUGAUGUUAAUUUUGUCUAUACCAUGUAUGUUUGUAUUGCUACGACUAGCAGUGCGGUCAUGUGGAUCCGAAGAAUCACCCUAGUAACUGGAAUCUCAAGUGCCAGGCAAGUUAUGCCCUUGAUCCACUUUUGUUACUCAAUAAUAUUCUUUAUUAUCACUAUUCAAUGCAUAGGUUUAAUUUUGAUGGGACCCAAUAGGUCACCCUAGUCUAUUUAUCCUAUUUUCCUUGUUUACCCCUGAUUCACUUGGGUAGUUAUGCUAUUGCAUUAUAUGGUUUUGGGUUAAUAUUUCAUUAUAUCCAUGUCCCAAUGAUUCUGUUAUUUUACUUAUGUUCAUGUCAAGAUCAUUAAAUGCUAAACUGGCGACAUGGGAUACACGACUUGUGGGUACAGGGUACAACCUCUGCAGAUUGUAAAACUGGUAUACUAGCCGAGCUCACGGUCAAGAGCAGCUUAGGACUUGUCAUUUGCAUUUGCAUGGGUUUAUUAUUAAUUUUGUUCUGUUAUUAUUAUUAUGGUUUGGUAUUUACUUACAUCUAGUAAUUGCUAAUAAAAUUUGACCAACUUAUUAAAAGCAAUGCUCAACUUUAACCUUUACUGUUGAUCAGCCUUACACAUCACAUGAACUCCCACCUUUGGUGAGUUCAUGCACACUGGUUCCCCACAACUUGUUGAGCUAUGAUCAUGUGUGAGCUCACCCUUGUUGUCUCACACCCCCCAUAGGAGAAGAACAGGUGGUUCAAGAUGUCGGUGUUUUGGGUCCGACCGCACACCCGGGGUUGCCCCUCAAGGUGUUUUAGGAGUAGGACGGUGUCGCCGACUGUAGCCUAAUGGUUCGUGCCAGAUGCACGAGGAACAAUGAACAGUGUUUAUAGGUUCGGGCCGCUUCGAGAUGCGUAACACCCUACGUCCUGGCGAGUACGCUUUGUGUAAUGGGUUACAAGGUAGCUCUUUGAAGUUAGAGCGUAGAGAGAUGAGGUGGAUGGCUGAGUAAUAAUGGGAUCGAUCGUUCUGAAGGGGUGCCCCCUAGGCCUUAUAUAUUCGACCGUGGGGAGAUACAUGUGGAUACGAUAACAAUGUACACCUACAAGAUAGUGAACCGUUUUAGUCUAUCUUCCUAUGAUUCUGCCGACUUAUCCUCGCCUGGUUCCGUCGUACGGGGCUCCAGCGCGGGAAAUUCGGAUCUUCUGUUGCGGUCGCUUGCUCAACGCUGUGGGGCCAUCCGGGUUUGCGCCAACCCGGCCUUAUGUCGAUCUGCUUCACUGGUCGUUCCUCCCCAGGCCCAUGAAGGAGUGACCUCACGGGUUAUUGGGCCCUUGGGCCUUUCGUGAGGUCUUUUAUCCUUCCAGUGGACCCGAGGGAUAUCUGUCCCCCACAAGCCCCCGAUCUUCGGGCUGAUUUUGAGAUAAUCAGCCCAAAGAUCCUAGGUCCAACUUGCGGUCUUUGUUUAUGAUAAGAAAUGCUUUCCAAGCAGUCUGGUAAAAAUGAUUUUUUAUUGUCUCCUUCUGCUUUGAUCACUCGUAAACUGGAGCCUUGUUUCAUGCUUGUGCCUUAGAGGUCGGCAUUUCAUUUUGUAGGACCCUAAACUUCAUUGGGUGCACUGGAGGUGCACCCAAUGGGUGUAGCCCCGAGCUUCGAGUGGAUUUUGGAAAAUAAUCCUCUCGAAGGUCUUCAUCAGAGAUUAUUUUUAUUUUCCACUUGCACUUUGGUUGAGGGUCAAUUUUGCCUUAUGCCUUAGAAAUUGGUGUUGUCUUCUCUUGAAAUGGUGAUUCAUUGGGUGCACCGGAGGUGCACCCAAUGGGUGUAGCCCCCGAGCUUCGAGUGGAUUUUUGAAGAUAAUCCAUUCGAAGGUCUUCAUUUCGUGUCUUUUUGCUGAGGGUCAUCUUUUCUUUUUUCGGGUGCCUUAGAAGUCGGCAUUAUGUCAUCCAUAUUAUGCUUUAGAGGUCAGCAUUAUGUCAUCAAUAUUAUGCUUCAGAGGUCAGCAUGUAUUUUGUCUUUUGCAGCCGAGCUCGUGAUCCGCCCAUAUCUUGCUAGGUGGUGCAAUUUAUUUGCUCUGCGACUGAUUGGACAUUUGAUGGACGUUCCCUGGCUAGUCUUCACGUCGCUUCUGUCGGUCAGAUUUUGUACUUCAUCGGCUAUAUUUGGCUUUCCUUUGAUCCUUACUGAUAUCUCAUUUUUGUCUUGAGGUAUUCAUUGCAUGCCCUGCAUGGAUGUGACAGUUUUGAAAAAUAUACUGAUAAUUCCUGGGCAUCCCCCCAAUGGGUGUGGGCAAGGGACGGCUUGGUACGCUGAGUGUUUUAGCCGGCUGCUUCUGAGUAGUAAUGUGAUGUGACGGCGGGCGUAAUCAUAUCAUCCGCGUUGUUGACUGGAGUCCCAAUGGGUGUUGCGUUGCGUGAAACGACGUCAGCCGCCUGACGUAUCUUUAGACGGGUUGAAGUGUGUAUUGAAUGCUUCGCGACUGUUCAGCGGCCG
Molecule: long non-coding RNA, 3792 nt
Filed under: Zea mays
Lineage: Eukaryota; Viridiplantae; Streptophyta; Magnoliopsida; Poales; Poaceae
Description: long non-coding RNA (ZMAY_LNC005473)
Source: RNAcentral